GCUCAACCUGGGAACUGCAUUUGUGACUGCAAGGCUAGAGUACGGUAGAGGGGGGUAGAAUUCCAGCGUGUAGCAGUGAAAUGCGUAGAUAUGCGGAGGAACACCGAUGGCGAAGGCAGCCCCCUGGAUCUGUACUGACGCUCAUGCACGAAAGCGUGGGGAGCAAACAGGAUUAGAUACCCUGGUAGUCCACGCCCUAAACGAUGUCAACUGGUUGUUGGGU
RNAcentral lists this ribosomal RNA (223 nucleotides) under uncultured beta proteobacterium. RNAcentral's name for it is "partial 16S ribosomal RNA". It matches the Rfam family "Bacterial small subunit ribosomal RNA", at positions 607 to 828 of the family's 1533-position model. The record is from RNAcentral. Lineage: Bacteria; Pseudomonadati; Pseudomonadota; Betaproteobacteria.